GAAAUGCGAUACGUAGUGUGAAUUGCAGAAUUCCGCGAAUCAUCGAGUCUUUGAACGCAACUUGCGCCCGAGGCUCGUCCGAGGGCAUUCCCGUCAGAGCGUCACCGCGCCACCCACCGCUCCGCUCCCGGAGACGACGUGGAACUGGCCGUCCCCGUCCAUUCGUUCGGGGUCGGCUGAAAUGGAUGGAACCUUGGGCCCCGCGGCGACACAGCCCGCGAUCAGGUGACCCGCGGCCCCCCCUCAACCCGGGAGUCGCGGUUUCUCGAACGCGCGGGCUGCACGAAGCCCUGUCGGCCUUGUCCGCACGAAGCAGGUCUUGUUUCCCUUCCCCCCCUAAACCGGGAGGAAAAGGAAUACACAGUAGUAACGCAACGGACCUCUGAUCGGGAAAGAUCAC
This 400-nucleotide unclassified non-coding RNA is filed under the name uncultured fungus. RNAcentral describes it as "sequence contains ITS1". The stretch from base 1 to 104 matches the Rfam family "5.8S ribosomal RNA", at positions 50 to 154 of the family's 154-position model. Lineage: Eukaryota; Fungi. The record is from RNAcentral.